AGUGAACGCUGGCGGUAGGCCUAACACAUGCAAGUCGAACGGCAGCACAGAGGAGCUUGCUCCUUGGGUGGCGAGUGGCGGACGGGUGAGGAAUACAUCGGAAUCUACUCUGUCGUGGGGGAUAACGUAGGGAAACUUACGCUAAUACCGCAUACGACCUACGGGUGAAAGCAGGGGAUCUUCGGACCUUGCGCGAUUGAAUGAGCCGAUGUCGGAUUAGCUAGUUGGCGGGGUAAGGGCCACCAAGGCGACGAUCCGUAGCUGGUCUGAGAGGAUGAUCAGCCACACUGGAACUGAGACACGGUCCAGACUCCUACGGGAGGCAGCAGUGGGGAAUAUUGGACAAUGGGCGCAAGCCUGAUCCAGCCAUACCGCGUGGGUGAAGAAGGCCUUCGGGUUGUAAAGCCCUUUUGUUGGGAAAGAAAUCCAUCUGGUUAAUACCCGGGUGGGAUGACGGUACCCAAAGAAUAAGCACCGGCUAACUUCGUGCCAGCCGCCGCUGUAA
RNAcentral lists this ribosomal RNA (505 nucleotides) under uncultured bacterium. RNAcentral describes it as "partial 16S ribosomal RNA". It matches the Rfam family "Bacterial small subunit ribosomal RNA", at positions 29 to 523 of the family's 1533-position model. The record is from RNAcentral.